RNAcentral lists this ribosomal RNA (165 nucleotides) under uncultured bacterium. RNAcentral's name for it is "partial 16S rRNA". It matches the Rfam family "Bacterial small subunit ribosomal RNA", at positions 355 to 511 of the family's 1533-position model. The record is from RNAcentral.
UAGGGAAUCUUCGGCAAUGGACGAAAGUCUGACCGAGCAACGCCGCGUGAGUGAAGAAGAUUUUCGGAUCGUAAAGCUCUGUUGUAAGAGAAGAACGUGUGUGAGAGUGGAAAGUUCACACAGUGACGGUAACUUACCAGAAAGGGACGGCUAACUACGCGCCAG